UACGUAGGGGCCAAGCGUUGUCCGGAUUUAUUGGGCGUAAAGAGCUCGUAGGCGGCUUUGUAAGUCGGAUGUGAAAUCCCCGGGCUUAACCUGGGAACUGCAUUCGAGACUGCAUGGCUAGAGUAUGGGAGAGGGAAGUGGAAUUUCAGGUGUAGCGGUGAAAUGCGUAGAUAUCUGAAGGAACAUCAGUGGCGAAAGCGACUUCCUGGACCAAUACUGACGCUCAUGUGCGAAAGCGUGGGGAGCAAACAGG
This 253-nucleotide ribosomal RNA is filed under the name uncultured bacterium. RNAcentral's name for it is "partial 16S ribosomal RNA". It matches the Rfam family "Bacterial small subunit ribosomal RNA", at positions 524 to 776 of the family's 1533-position model. The record is from RNAcentral.